RNAcentral lists this ribosomal RNA (1391 nucleotides) under uncultured bacterium. Its description in RNAcentral is "bacterial SSU rRNA". It matches the Rfam family "Bacterial small subunit ribosomal RNA". The record is from RNAcentral.
AGAGUUUGAUCCUGGCUCAGGAUGAACGCCUUUGGCGUGCCUAACACAUGCAAGUCGAGCGAGAAAUUUACGAAUGAAAUUUCGAUGGAUUUUGUAAAUGGAAAGCGGCGGACGGGUGAGUAACGCGUAGGUAACCUGCCCCAUACAGAGGGAUAGCCACUGGAAACGGUGAUUAAUACCUCAUAAAACUGAGAAUACACAUGUAUACUCAGCCAAAGAUUUAUCGCUGAAAGAUGGCCUCGCGUCUGAUUAGCUAGUUGGUGAGGUAACGGCUCACCAAGGCGACGAUCAGUAGCCGGACUGAGAGGUUGGCCGGCCACAUUGGGACUGAGAUACGGCCCAGACUCCUACGGGAGGCAGCAGUGGGGAAUAUUGGGCAAUGGGCGCAAGCCUGACCCAGCAACGCCGCGUGAAGGAAGAAGGCUUUCGGGUUGUAAACUUCUUUUGACAGGGAAGAGUAGAAGACGGUACCUGUCGAAUAAGCCACGGCUAACUACGUGCCAGCAGCCGCGGUAAUACGUAGGUGGCAAGCGUUGUCCGGAUUUACUGGGUGUAAAGGGCGUGUAGCCGGGUUGACAAGUCAGAUGUGAAAUCCUGCGGCUUAACCGCAGAACUGCAUUUGAAACUGUUGAUCUUGAGUACUGGAGAGGCAGACGGAAUUCCUAGUGUACCGGUGAAAUGCUUAGAUAUUAGGAGGAACACCACUGGCCAAAGCCGGUUUGGCUGGACAGCAACUGACGGGUGAGGCGGGAAAGCGUGGGGGGCAAACAGGAUUAGAUCCCCUGGUAGUCCACGCUGUAAACGAUGGAUAGUAGGUGUGGGGGACUGACCCCCCUGCGUGCCGCAGCUAACGCAAUAAGUAUCCCACCUGGGGGGUACGAUCGCAAGGUUGAAACUCAAAGGAAUUGACGGGGGCCCGCACAAGCGGUGGAUUAUGUGGUUUAAUUCGAUGCAACGCGAAGAACCUUACCAGGGCUUGACAUCCUACUAACGAAGUAGAGAUACAUUAGGUACCCUUCGGGGGAAGUAGAGACAGGUGGUGCAUGGUUGUCGUCAGCUCGUGUCGUGAGAUGUUGGGUUAAGUCCCGCAACGAGCGCAACCCUUAUUGUUAGUUGCUACGCAAGAGCACUCUAGCGAGACUGCCGUUGACAAAACGGAGGAAGGUGGGGACGACGUCAAAUCAUCAUGCCCCUUAUGUCCUGGGCUACACACGUAAUACAAUGGCGGCCAACAGAGGGAUGCAAAGCUGUGAAGUGGAGCGAACCCCUAAAAGCCGUCCCAGUUCAGAUUGCAGUCUGCAACUCGACUGCAUGAAGUCGGAAUCGCUAGUAAUCGCGGAUCAGCAUGCCGCGGUGAAUACGUUCCCGGGCCUUGCACACACCGCCCGUCA